CAGUCGCCGCGGUAAUACGUAGGUGGCAAGCGUCGUCCGGAAUUAUUGGGCGUAAAGGGCUCGCAGGCGGUUUCUUAAGUCUGAUGUGAAAGCCCCCGGCUCAACCGGGGAGGGUCAUUGGGAACUGGGAAACUUGAGUGCAGAAGAGGAGAGUGGAAUUCCACGUGUAGCGGUGAAAUGCGUAGAGAUGUGGAGGAACACCAGUGGCGAAGGCGACUCUCUGGUCUGUAACUGACGCUGAGGAGCGAAAGCGUGGGGAGCGAACAGGAUUAGAUACCCAGUAGUCCCUGUCUCUUAUCAA
RNAcentral lists this ribosomal RNA (301 nucleotides) under uncultured bacterium. Its description in RNAcentral is "partial 16S ribosomal RNA". It matches the Rfam family "Bacterial small subunit ribosomal RNA", at positions 509 to 809 of the family's 1533-position model. The record is from RNAcentral.